This 74-nucleotide transfer RNA is filed under the name Chloroflexota bacterium. RNAcentral's name for it is "tRNA-Glu". It matches the Rfam family "tRNA". Rfam says of the family: Transfer RNA (tRNA) molecules are approximately 80 nucleotides in length. Their secondary structure includes four short double-helical elements and three loops (D, anti-codon, and T loops). The record is from RNAcentral. RNAcentral also lists the same sequence under 2 other names. Lineage: Bacteria; Bacillati; Chloroflexota.
GGCGCAUUCGUCUAGUGGCCUAGGACGCCGCCCUCUCAAGGCGGAGAUCACGGGUUCGACUCCCGUAUGCGCUA